RNAcentral lists this ribosomal RNA (253 nucleotides) under uncultured bacterium. RNAcentral describes it as "partial 16S ribosomal RNA". It matches the Rfam family "Bacterial small subunit ribosomal RNA", at positions 524 to 776 of the family's 1533-position model. The record is from RNAcentral.
GACGAGUCUGACAAACGUUAUUCGGAAUUACUGGGCUUAAAGGGUGCGUAGGCGGUAUGGUAAGUCGGAUGUGAAAUACCUUAGCUUAACUAGGGAACUGCACUCGAUACUACCGUGCUAGAGUAAGACAGAGGUGAGUGGAACUGAGGGUGGAGCGGUGAAAUGCGUUGAUAUCCUCAGGAACACCGGUGGCGAAGGCGACUCACUGGGUCUUUACUGACGCUGAUGCACGAAAGCUAGGGUAGCAAACGGG